UGUUGUGGAGGCUUGGACCUGAUCUCCAAUCACCUUUGUUAAGUUAUCACUCUUCCCAUAUGCAAUCAGCCCUUGAAGUUGGUGUUGCCUCAAAUUCUGAUUGCAGUUGAACCUUCCCUUGCUGAUCUUGUCCAUUAUUCCUGAGCAACACCAAAGUGCACGUGUCUCCAUUGUCUAAAUAUGAUUGACAAGAGUUUAAUGCUGAACUUACUUGAAGGUUGAGUUGACGGGCACGAGCACGAGUAAGAGGACCAGCUAUAGGUUGUGUCGGAGAGGAUGUAGGAUAUGUAUCGCUGGUGGAUGUAGGAUAUGUAUCGCUGGUGGAUGUAGGAUAUGUAUCGCUGGUGUUGAUGUCCUCAUCAGGGCUGAAACAAGGAACGAACUAGCACCACGUUAGUUAUAAAAGCGAGCUGAAUAAGCGUUCGACGAUGGUACUGUGCUGGUCCUAGGCUAGACCGUGCUAGAGACGCGAGCCUGGACACAAAGGAAAACCACAGCACACCCCCGAAAACAAGGUGGGACAAACCUAAAAUCAAUAUGAAAAACAGCCCCUUUUUUGAAUCUUUUCUCUUUUCUUUUUUUUCUUUUUUUUCUUUUUUUUUGGGCAACCUCAAAAACUGAUUAUAUGAACAAAAGAAUACAAAAGAGCAAUUCGCUCCACACACUUUUUUCGCUCCACACACACACUCUCUCUCUCUAGAGUAAGGCCGAACAAGUAGAGUUAUCUUUCUUUUUGAACUCAGAUUGGAACUCUACUCGAUCCGGACCAAGACCACAGUUCAAUUCAGACUUCGCAACAGAUUCGACAGAGAGAAGAUAUGGUAAUACUCGGCUGUGUAUAGAUGGUGACAAGAACUCGAAACUCUAAAGGACUAGACACUAAGACCAGCAACUCGACACAAACCAAAGCAACGCAAAUUCAACAAGCCCUAACUAAAACGGUACUAGCCAAGGCACAAAGGUUUAAUAGGAUUAUGGAAAAACUAAUCUACUAUAUUUUUUUGGCUUUUCUGGACUAUAGGAAAUUAAUUAAAAACAGCAAAGGAUUAGAAGUCUCUCACCGAAGAACCUUGCUCUGAUACCAACUGAUGCGAGCCCGCUAGGGUUUUUGGCCUGAUCUUUCGAUGAGAGGCGCUGGAUAACUCGAUUAAUGGAUGGAGAUGACGUUCACGGCCCGACUACAGCCCUCAAGACCGCGCCUUAGCAACCGAUACACCACGUCCAACAGCCGUCACGAUCUUGUGGAGCGCGACAACCAGCCCCUAGGGCUCCCGUCCUGCAAGCAAUCGAAGGACUAGCAAGAACGAGGAAACAAGCACUGAGUUUGCAAGAUGAAUUGAAGGUUUUAAACUGAAUCUUAAUCAACAAUGGGGUUCCGAAGACAAGGAGGCGGGCGGCUGAUCCUGCACGUGCGCCUACAAGCAAGUAGCGAAGGCUAAACUUGAUCUAAACAAAACCCAGUUGUUCAUGGCGGCUCUAGAUGUAAAUAAAUAGAGGGGAGGACGACCAAAGGGGUGCUAGAGUCGUCCUCCAACCCUAGGACGCGUCCCUAAUGGACUCAACUUGAUACAUGGGCCAUUGGUCCAUAAUAGGGUGACGCAGCACCAAAACAGAAAAAGGUGUCGGCACGAAAACAAGGACUGCGCCCGACUCAUAAGCCGCAUAGAUAUGUGGUUGGACCCAUUGGAAAGUAGACUUCAUGAGCUUUCCAACAAGUAUAGGAACGUCCCAGUUGGAGUCCAUAUGACGCCGUGGUGAUCCAUACAAGUUAGAGUUAUUUUCCAGUCCGAAUCUAACUCCCAAAACGUGUUGGGUUUGGACUCUUUGUUUCCUUGCUUUAGAAACGACGUGGUAACUUGACAGAGGAUGUUGUGGAGGCUUGGACCUGAUCUCCAAUCACCUUUGUUAAGUUAUCACUCUUCCCAUAUGCAAUCAGCCCUUGAAGUUGGUGUUGCCUCAAAUUCUGAAUGCAGUUGAACCUUCCCUUGCUGAUCUUGUCCAUUAUUCCUGAGCAACACCAAAGUGCACGUGUCUCCAUUGUCUAAAUAUGAUUGACAAGAGUUUAAUGCUGAACUUACUUGAAGGUUGAGUUGACGGGCACGAGCACGAGUAAGAGGACCAGCUAUAGGUUGUGUCGGAGAGGAUGUAGGAUAUGUAUCGCUGGUGGAUGUAGGAUAUGUAUCGCUGGUGGAUGUAGGAUAUGUAUCGCUGGUGUUGAUGUCCUCAUCAGGGCUGAAACAAGGAACGAACUAGCACCACGUUAGUUAUAAAAGCGAGCUGAAUAAGCGUUCGACGAUGGUACUGUGCUGGUCCUAGGCUAGACCGUGCUAGAGACGCGAGCCUGGACACAAAGGAAAACCACAGCACACCCCCGAAAACAAGGUGGGACAAACCUAAAAUCAAUAUGAAAAACAGCCCCUUUUUUUGAAUCUUUUCUCUUUUCUUUUUUUUUUCUUUUUUUUCUUUUUUUUGGGCAACCUCAAAAACUGAUUAUAUGAACAAAAGAAUACAAAAGAGCAAUUCGCUCCACACACUUUUUUCGCUCCACACACACACUCUCUCUCUCUAGAGUAAGGCCGAACAAGUAGAGUUAUCUUUCUUUUUGAACUCAGAUUGGAACUCUACUCGAUCCGGACCAAGACCACAGUUCAAUUCAGACUUCGCAACAGAUUCGACAGAGAGAAGAUAUGGUAAUACUCGGCUGUGUAUAGAUGGUGACAAGAACUCGAAACUCUAAAGGACUAGACACUAAGACCAGCAACUCGACACAAACCGAAGCAACGCAAAUUCAACAAGCCCUAACUAAAACGGUACUAGCCAAGGCACAAAGGUUUAAUAGGAUUAUGGAAAAACUAAUCUACUAUAUUUUUUUGGCUUUUCUGGACUAUAGGAAAUUAAUUAAAAACAGCAAAGGAUUAGAAGUCUCUCACCGAAGAACCUUGCUCUGAUACCAACUGAUGCGAGCCCGCUAGGGUUUUUGGCCUGAUCUUUCGAUGAGAGGCGCUGGAUAACUCGAUUAAUGGAUGGAGAUGACGUUCACGGCCCGACUACAGCCCUCAAGACCGCGCCUUAGCAACCGAUACACCACGUCCAACAGCCGUCACGAUCUUGUGGAGCGCGACAACCAGCCCCUAGGGCUCCCGUCCUGCAAGCAAUCGAAGGACUAGCAAGAACGAGGAAACAAGCACUGAGUUUGCAAGAUGAAUUGAAGGUUUUAAACUGAAUCUUAAUCAACAAUGGGGUUCCGAAGACAAGG
Molecule: long non-coding RNA, 3256 nt
Filed under: Sorghum bicolor (sorghum)
Lineage: Eukaryota; Viridiplantae; Streptophyta; Magnoliopsida; Poales; Poaceae
Description: long non-coding RNA (SBIC_LNC018484)
Source: RNAcentral